GCCUCCGUGGCGCAAUCGGCUAGCGCGUUCGGCUGUUAACCGAAAGGUUGGUGGUUCGAGCCCACCAGGAGGCG
Molecule: transfer RNA, 74 nt
Filed under: Trichonephila clavata
Lineage: Eukaryota; Metazoa; Arthropoda; Arachnida; Araneae; Nephilidae
Rfam family: tRNA
About the family: Transfer RNA (tRNA) molecules are approximately 80 nucleotides in length. Their secondary structure includes four short double-helical elements and three loops (D, anti-codon, and T loops).
Source: Rfam by way of RNAcentral